AUGAAAGGUGUAGUAUAAAUGCAACUCAUUACCAUUUUAGGCAGAAUUCCCAGGCUGGCAUUUAGCAAUUAAAAAAGCAAAGCUAAACAAGCCCAGGAGAUCAACAAUCCAUUUUUUUUCAACCCAAGAUGCUCAGUUAUUAUGGACAAAUCACUAGAAGACUCUAUUGUCCUUUGCUGACUCUCUUUGGAGCCUCUAAGGCAGCACAGAAUAAGCAAUAAUAGAAUGGAAAUACGCAUUAAUCUAAAGGAAUUGAGUGUAUGGUUACUUUUGUCUGCGUACAGACCUGGAGUCCAGCAGGCCUCUGGCUUCAACCCUGAUCAUCAUUUGAAAAGAGCAUGCCCAAUGUACGCACUGUCCUUUCAUCCUGAAUCCCGGACAAAGAGACUUAUGGAGCAGGUGUGAACCCAGUCUGCAUACUGGAGCCACAUGCAGCUUAACUGGUCAGGUGAGCUCAACCACUUCCAGGGGAACCGUAGACAAACAGAAGAUUCCUGAGUGAGAAACAAAUGUUUGCUGUUGUAAACCAUCAAGAUUUUGAGGUAGCUGCAGCUUCUUUACUUAAGCAAAGCCUGACUGGUACAAUGCCCAAUAUUUUCUAAGAACUAUGCUUGGUGCUUAAUUUUUGUUAUUUCAAACUUACAAAAAGCAUUAUAAAAUUAUCA
Molecule: long non-coding RNA, 665 nt
Filed under: Papio anubis (olive baboon)
Lineage: Eukaryota; Metazoa; Chordata; Mammalia; Primates; Cercopithecidae
Description: lncRNA (ENSPANG00000046701.1)
Source: RNAcentral